Molecule: ribosomal RNA, 279 nt
Filed under: uncultured bacterium
Lineage: Bacteria
Description: partial 16S ribosomal RNA
Rfam family: Bacterial small subunit ribosomal RNA
Source: RNAcentral
UGCCAGCCGCCGCGGUAAUACAGAGAGUGCAAGCGUUAAUCGGAAUUACUGGGCGUAAAGGGCGUGUAGGCGGAUGUGCAAGUCAGAUGUGAAAUACCUGGGCUUAACCGAGGAAGGUCAUUUGAAACUGCAUAUCUAGAGUGCAAUAGAGGGGAGUGGAAUUUCCGGUGUAGCGGUGAAAUGCGUAGAUAUCGGAAGGAACACCAGUGGCGAAGGCGGCUCCCUGGAUUGACACUGACGCUGAGGCGCGAAAGCGUGGGGAGCGAACAGGAUUAUCUA